This is a non-coding RNA of Rhamnusium bicolor, 72 nucleotides long. NCBI's taxonomy places the organism in Eukaryota, Metazoa, Arthropoda, Insecta, Coleoptera, Cerambycidae. The record is from the annotation of a GenBank genome assembly.
UGCUUAGUGGUCGGGCGGUAAAGAUACAUGCCUCUCACACUGAAGUCCUGGGUUCGAUCCCCAGUGGAGGAG